GCGGCUGCAUGUGAAUGGCUUCAGGUAGCAUCACCAAAGAAGAAGAAUUUCCCUCCAAAAAAAUUGGUUUUAUUUUGCCAGCGAGUUCAGAAUUUGUUUACCAACUGAAUGAGUAAACCAACUCGAUGACCACCAUUCUAGACAACUUUCAACGCGCCGAAAAGAUCGGCGAGGGCACCUACGGGAUAGUUUACAAGGCGCGUAGCAACUCUACCGGCCAGGAUGUGGCGCUCAAAAAGAUUCGGCUGGAAGGCGAAACGGAGGGCGUUCCUUCGACGGCCAUUCGAGAGAUCUCCCUGCUGAAGAACCUUAAGCACCCGAAUGUGGUUCAGCUCUUCGACGUGGUGAUCUCCGGCAACAAUCUGUACAUGAUAUUCGAGUACCUGAACAUGGAUCUGAAGAAGCUGAUGGACAAGAAAAAAGAUGUUUUCACCCCUCAGUUAAUAAAGAGCUAUAUGCAUCAGAUAUUAGAUGCCGUCGGCUUUUGCCACACCAACCGUAUACUGCAUCGCGAUCUCAAGCCCCAGAACCUUCUCGUGGACACUGCGGGCAAAAUAAAGUUGGCUGAUUUUGGCCUUGCAAGGGCCUUCAACGUUCCUAUGCGAGCGUACACCCACGAAGUCGUCACCCUUUGGUACCGAGCACCGGAGAUUCUGUUGGGCACGAAGUUCUACUCCACGGGCGUUGACAUCUGGAGUCUAGGCUGCAUUUUCUCUGAGAUGAUAAUGCGCCGCUCCUUGUUCCCCGGGGACAGCGAGAUUGAUCAGCUUUAUAGAAUAUUUCGUACCUUAAGCACACCCGAUGAAACAAAAUGGCCAGGUGUGACACAACUACCAGACUUCAAGACCAAGUUUCCAAGAUGGGAGGGAACCAAUAUGCCACAGCCCAUAACCGAACACGAGGCUCACGAACUCAUAAUGUCAAUGCUGUGCUAUGAUCCCAACCUGCGCAUCUCAGCCAAGGACGCACUGAAGCACGCUUACUUCGGCAAUGUACAGCAUGUUGACCAUGUGGCCCUUCCUGUGGAUCCCAAUGCCGGCAGUGCUUCGCGCCUAACGCGGCUCGUCUAAGCAUGAGCAUAUCCAAUAGCCCCAGAUCUAGCAAAUUACUUGUGAUCUUUAGUAUACUGCCAGCUCAAUUUCAUGCAUUCCCCAUCCUCACUUGCACCUAACACAUACGAUAAAUACACGAUCAUCCAUAAGUAAA
Molecule: unclassified non-coding RNA, 1206 nt
Filed under: Drosophila yakuba
Lineage: Eukaryota; Metazoa; Arthropoda; Insecta; Diptera; Drosophilidae
Description: cdc2c
Source: RNAcentral